AGCGAACGCUGGCGGCAGGCUUAACACAUGCAAGUCGAGCGGGCGUAGCAAUACGUCAGCGGCAGACGGGUGAGUAACGCGUGGGAACAUACCUUUUGGUUCGGAACAACACAGGGAAACUUGUGCUAAUACCGGAUAAGCCCUUACGGGGAAAGAUUUAUCGCCGAAAGAUUGGCCCGCGUCUGAUUAGCUAGUUGGUGAGGUAAUGGCUCACCAAGGCGACGAUCAGUAGCUGGUCUGAGAGGAUGAUCAGCCACAUUGGGACUGAGACACGGCCCAAACUCCUACGGGAGGCAGCAGUGGGGAAUAUUGGACAAUGGGCGCAAGCCUGAUCCAGCCAUGCCGCGUGAGUGAUGAAGGCCCUAGGGUUGUAAAGCUCUUUUGUGCGGGAAGAUAAUGACGGUACC
Molecule: ribosomal RNA, 407 nt
Filed under: uncultured bacterium
Lineage: Bacteria
Description: bacterial SSU rRNA
Rfam family: Bacterial small subunit ribosomal RNA
Source: RNAcentral